GGAUUGACAGGUAUUAUAUAGCGCGCUUGCGCGUCUAUUGUUAAAUAUGCUAGUCCUUUCAUGAUUAUGUGAUAGGUGGUGCAUGGCCGUUCUUAGUUCGUGGAGUGAUCUGUCUGCUUAAUUGCGUUUCAGAUAAGGAUCUAUAUUCUUUACAGAAGUGUUGCGUAGUGCAUUUGACCCCCGUCGCGAGGCGUGUCUUUUCGCGCUCGCACGCUUUUUACAUUAGGUCC
RNAcentral lists this ribosomal RNA (230 nucleotides) under Globigerinita glutinata. RNAcentral describes it as "partial 18S ribosomal RNA". It matches the Rfam family "Eukaryotic small subunit ribosomal RNA", at positions 1237 to 1397 of the family's 1831-position model. Lineage: Eukaryota; Foraminifera; Rotaliida; Globigerinitidae. The record is from RNAcentral.